This 299-nucleotide small nuclear RNA is filed under the name Oryctolagus cuniculus (rabbit). Its description in RNAcentral is "7SK RNA". It matches the Rfam family "7SK RNA". Rfam says of the family: 7SK was discovered as an abundant small nuclear RNA in the mid-70s but a possible function has only recently been suggested. Two independent studies have found that 7SK RNA binds the CDK9/cyclin T complex (known as elongation factor P-TEFb). P-TEFb activates transcription by phosphorylating the C-terminal domain of RNA polymerase II. The record is from Rfam by way of RNAcentral. Lineage: Eukaryota; Metazoa; Chordata; Mammalia; Lagomorpha; Leporidae.
GGAUGCAAGGGCAAUUUGGGUGCAGCAUUUGUCACUCCAUUGAUAGCCAGGGUUGAAGGGUUGAUUUGGCUGAUUUGGCUGGCCACUUGCUUCAUAUGCAUCCCUCCUGAAACUGUGCCCUUAGACAAAGAUGACUGUUAGAAGAUGACUGUUCUUCCCUGCUAGAAGAUGACUGAUCUUCUGUGAAGGGUAUACAAGUAGUUGCACUCCCCUGUUAUAACCUUCAAACAGACUCUCCAGGUCCUUCAAUUAAAAAAAAAAAAAAAACUUUUUAUAUACUCAAUAAACGUAAUUUUAUU